Molecule: ribosomal RNA, 549 nt
Filed under: uncultured Glomus
Lineage: Eukaryota; Fungi; Glomeromycota; Glomeromycetes; Glomerales; Glomeraceae
Description: SSU rRNA
Rfam family: Eukaryotic small subunit ribosomal RNA
Source: RNAcentral
UUGGAGGGCAAGUCUGGUGCCAGCAGCCGCGGUAAUUCCAGCUCCAAUAGCGUAUAUUAAAGUUGUUGCAGUUAAAAAGCUCGUAGUUGAAUUUCGGGAUUAGCAGGUCGGUCGUGCCACUGGUACGUACUGGUCUUGCUGAUUCCUCCCUCUUGACGAGCCGUAAUGCCAUUAAUUUGGUGUUGCGGGGAAUCAGGACUGUUACUUUGAAAAAAUUAGAGUGUUUAAAGCAGGCAUGCGCUUGAAUACAUUAGCAUGGAAUAAUGAAAUAGGACGUUCGAUCUUAUUUUGUUGGUUUCUAGGAUUGACGUAAUGAUUAAUAGGGAUAGUUGGGGGCAUUAGUAUUCAAUUGUCAGAGGUGAAAUUCUUGGAUUUAUUGAAGACUAACUACUGCGAAAGCAUUUGCCAAGGAUGCUUUCAUUAAUCAAGAACGAAAGUUAGGGGAUCGAAGACGAUCAGAUACCGUCGUAGUCUUAACCAUAAACUAUGCCGACUAGGGAUCGGAUGAUGUUAAUUUUUUAAUGACUCAUUCGGCGCCUUACGGGAAAC